GUCCACGCCGUAAACGAUGAUGACUAGCUGUCGGGGCGCUUAGCGUUUCGGUGGCGCAGCUAACGCGUUAAGUCAUCCGCCUGGGGAGUACGGCCGCAAGGUUAAAACUCAAAGAAAUUGACGGGGGCCUGCACAAGCGGUGGAGCAUGUGGUUUAAUUCGAAGCAACGCGCAGAACCUUACCAGCGUUUGACAUGGUAGGACGGUUUCCAGAGAUGGAUUCCUUCCCUUACGGGACCUACACACAGGUGCUGCAUGGCUGUCGU
Molecule: ribosomal RNA, 265 nt
Filed under: uncultured bacterium
Lineage: Bacteria
Description: partial 16S ribosomal RNA
Rfam family: Bacterial small subunit ribosomal RNA
Source: RNAcentral